Molecule: transfer RNA, 71 nt
Filed under: Camelus bactrianus (Bactrian camel)
Lineage: Eukaryota; Metazoa; Chordata; Mammalia; Artiodactyla; Camelidae
Also listed under: 2 other names
Rfam family: tRNA
About the family: Transfer RNA (tRNA) molecules are approximately 80 nucleotides in length.
Source: Rfam by way of RNAcentral
GGGUGUAUAGCUCCGUGGUAGAGCGUGUGCUUAGCAUGCAUGAGGCCUGAGUUCAAUUCCCAGUACCUCCA